GGAUGUACGGUGAAGAAUUUCGGUCAAAUCAUGUGCAUCUUUAGUGGCGGACGGGUGAGUAACGCGUGGGUAACCUGCCUUACACAGGGGGAUAACACUUAGAAAUAGGUGCUAAUACCGCAUGAGCGCACAGGACCGCAUGGUCGAGUGUGAAAAACUGAGGUGGUGUAAGAUGGACCCGCGUCUGAUUAGCUGGUUGGUGAGGUAACGGCCCACCAAGGCGACGAUCAGUAGCCGGCCUGAGAGGGUGGACGGCCACAUUGGGACUGAGACACGGCCCAAACUCCUACGGGAGGCAGCAGUGGGGGAUAUUGGACAAUGGGGGGAACCCUGAUCCAGCGACGCCGCGUGAGUGAAGAAGUAUCUCGGUAUGUAAAGCUCUAUCAGCAGGGAAGAAGAAAUGACGGUACCUGAGUAAGAAGCCCCGGCUAACUACGUGCCAGCAGCCGCGGUAAUACGUAGGGGGCAAGCGUUAUCCGGAAUUACUGGGUGUAAAGGGAGCGUAGACGGUGAUGUAAGUCUGGAGUGAAAGGCGGGGGCCCAACCCCCGGACUGCUCUGGAAACUAUGUGACUGGAGUGCAGGAGAGGUGAGCGGAAUUCCUAGUGUAGCGGUGAAAUGCGUAGAUAUUAGGAGGAACACCAGUGGCGAAGGCGGCUCACUGGACUGUAACUGACGUUGAGGCUCGAAAGCGUGGGGAGCAAACAGGAUUAGAUACCCUGGUAGUCCACGCCGUAAACGAUGAUCACUAGGUGUGGGUGGGUAUGG
Molecule: ribosomal RNA, 767 nt
Filed under: uncultured bacterium
Lineage: Bacteria
Description: bacterial SSU rRNA
Rfam family: Bacterial small subunit ribosomal RNA
Source: RNAcentral